This 209-nucleotide long non-coding RNA is filed under the name Lathyrus oleraceus (garden pea). RNAcentral's name for it is "Pisum sativum (pea) long non-coding RNA (PSAT_LNC018657)". Lineage: Eukaryota; Viridiplantae; Streptophyta; Magnoliopsida; Fabales; Fabaceae. The record is from RNAcentral.
AAAAGGUGAUUGAAGUGGUGUUAAACCAAAGAAAGGAUAAAGGUGUUUAGAUCAAAAGGGUAAUAGAAAUGAUAGGGGCGGUGUUUAUACCAAACAAGAAAUAGGAAUUAAUUGAAAUGGUGUUUAAACCAGGGACGGGAAUCAAAUGUUAAAGUAGUGUUUAAACCGAAGAAAGAAAGAAAGCAGAUGAGUUGAAAAAGUGGUGUUUG